AUUAAGAAUCUCACCCUACCCCAUGUGAUUUCUUUUCACGUUCAUCACAGAAGUAAAACAGUUUUGUCUCUCAUCUUCCUCUAUCGCCAUACGGUAUUGCAGUUUUCUUCCCAAUUUGUAUAUGUUUAAUCUAUUUGAUUGCUGGAAAAACCAUAUACGUAUGCAAUGAAAAGAGAAAACAUACAUGUAAUAGAUUAAAAAGGGAAAGGGAAGAAAUCCUCCCUUUCUUUCCUUUUCGUGCAAGGCUUUCAGAAAUCUGUAUCAGAUAUUAUGCAUCCAGGAGUGUGCUGGCAGGUUGAAUAGUGUAUAUAAAUUUUCAAUUUUUCAUAUUAAACUAUAGAAUUUACCCUUUAGGAUCGAAAUACCAAUCGAAACAGAAAAACUCAGCUCGUAAUUUUUGGUUAGGACGAGGAAAAUCUGAAAACUCAGUGUGGGAGGAUCAAAGUUUGGUGCUUUCUGGGAGAAAAUUGGGUUUUUUGUGGUGUUUGUUUGAUGGGUUUAUUGGUUGAUUCAAAAGGGGAAGGGGGCGCCGGAGGAAGUGGAAGAAACGGCGGUUCAUGGGGUUUUUUGUGGUGUAUGUUCAUGUGAAGUCAGGGGGUCAUCAAUUGGCCAAGGAGUUGACUGAUCUUGCUGCAAUUGUUUAUAUAAUAUCUCAAUCAAGCAUGGAAGUGGAUGAAGAAAUGGAAGUCGAGCAAAUGGUGGAAGAACAAAUUGAAGAAGAAGAAGAAACUAAUGAAGAAGAAAUUGAGGAAGAAGAACUUUAUGAAACCAUUAAAUAUUUAUUGAUGGCAAUUCAAGCCGUAGUCCACGUGCUAGAAGAGUUUAUAAUUACAUUUGGACAACCUAUUGAACGUCCUUUAAAUCGACGAUCAAUUACUAUGGAAGGAUACAAUUAUAUACAUAAAGUAUUGAAAGAGGACCGCCCAGAGGAUUUCUUGCAAAGGUAUAGAAUGUAUCCUGAUGUGUUUGUG
Long non-coding RNA from Pyrus x bretschneideri (Chinese white pear), 971 nucleotides. RefSeq lists it as uncharacterized. The transcript has 2 exons. The record is from RefSeq and is a predicted model, not a curated record. Lineage: Eukaryota; Viridiplantae; Streptophyta; Magnoliopsida; Rosales; Rosaceae.